UUGAUCCUGGCUCAGGACGAACGCUGGCGGCGUGCCUAAUACAUGCAAGUCGAACGCGUCUCCGUUGAUGAUUUUAGGUGCUUGCACCUGAAAGAUUUAACAUUGAGACGAGUGGCGAACUGGUGAGUAACACGUGGGUAACCUGCCCUUGAAGUAGGGGAUAACACUUGGAAACAGGUGCUAAUACCGUAUAACAACCAAAACCACCUGGUUUUGGUUUAAAAGACGGCUUCGGCUGUCACUUUAGGAUGGACCCGCGGCGUAUUAGCUUGUUGGUAAGGUAACGGCCUACCAAGGCGAUGAUACGUAGCCGACCUGAGAGGGUAAUCGGCCACAUUGGGACUGAGACACGGCCCAAACUCCUACGGGAGGCAGCAGUAGGGAAUCUUCCACAAUGGACGAAAGUCUGAUGGAGCAACGCCGCGUGAGUGAUGAAGGGUUUCGGCUCGUAAAACUCUGUUGUUGGAGAAGAACAGGUGUCAGAGUAACUGUUGACAUCUUGACGGUAUCCAACCAGAAAGCCACGGCUAACUACGUGCCAGCAGCCGCGGUAAUACGUAGGUGGCAAGCGUUGUCCGGAUUUAUUGGGCGUAAAGCGAG
RNAcentral lists this ribosomal RNA (600 nucleotides) under uncultured Lactobacillus sp. RNAcentral's name for it is "bacterial SSU rRNA". It matches the Rfam family "Bacterial small subunit ribosomal RNA", at positions 13 to 569 of the family's 1533-position model. The record is from RNAcentral. Lineage: Bacteria; Bacillati; Bacillota; Bacilli; Lactobacillales; Lactobacillaceae.